This 466-nucleotide ribosomal RNA is filed under the name uncultured bacterium. RNAcentral's name for it is "partial 16S ribosomal RNA". It matches the Rfam family "Bacterial small subunit ribosomal RNA", at positions 28 to 505 of the family's 1533-position model. The record is from RNAcentral.
GACGAACGCUGGCGGCGUGCUUAACACAUGCAAGUCGAACGGAAAGGCCCUGCUUUUGUGGGGUGCUCGAGUGGCGAACGGGUGAGUAACACGUGAGUAACCUGCCCUUGACUUUGGGAUAACUUCAGGAAACUGGGGCUAAUACCGGAUAGGAGCUCCUGCUGCAUGGUGGGGGUUGGAAAGUUUCGGCGGUUGGGGAUGGACUCGCGGCUUAUCAGCUUGUUGGUGGGGUAGUGGCUUACCAAGGCUUUGACGGGUAGCCGGCCUGAGAGGGUGACCGGCCACAUUGGGAUGAAGAUACGGCCCAGACUCCGAGGGGGGGAGGCGGUGGGGAAUAUUGCAGAAGGGGGGGAAGCCUGGUGCAGCACCGCCGGGUGGGGGAUGGCGGCCUUGGGGGUGUAAACCGUUUUCGCCUGAGGCGAAGGGUGAGUGACGGUAGUGGGUAAAGAAGCACCGGCAAACUAGG